This 1555-nucleotide ribosomal RNA is filed under the name Staphylococcus aureus. RNAcentral describes it as "Small Subunit Ribosomal RNA". It matches the Rfam family "Bacterial small subunit ribosomal RNA". The record is from RNAcentral. RNAcentral also lists the same sequence under 4 other names. Lineage: Bacteria; Bacillati; Bacillota; Bacilli; Caryophanales; Staphylococcaceae.
UUUUAUGGAGAGUUUGAUCCUGGCUCAGGAUGAACGCUGGCGGCGUGCCUAAUACAUGCAAGUCGAGCGAACGGACGAGAAGCUUGCUUCUCUGAUGUUAGCGGCGGACGGGUGAGUAACACGUGGAUAACCUACCUAUAAGACUGGGAUAACUUCGGGAAACCGGAGCUAAUACCGGAUAAUAUUUUGAACCGCAUGGUUCAAAAGUAAAAGACGGUCUUGCUGUCACUUAUAGAUGGAUCCGCGCUGCAUUAGCUAGUUGGUAAGGUAACGGCUUACCAAGGCAACGAUGCAUAGCCGACCUGAGAGGGUGAUCGGCCACACUGGAACUGAGACACGGUCCAGACUCCUACGGGAGGCAGCAGUAGGGAAUCUUCCGCAAUGGGCGAAAGCCUGACGGAGCAACGCCGCGUGAGUGAUGAAGGUCUUCGGAUCGUAAAACUCUGUUAUUAGGGAAGAACAUAUGUGUAAGUAACUGUGCACAUCUUGACGGUACCUAAUCAGAAAGCCACGGCUAACUACGUGCCAGCAGCCGCGGUAAUACGUAGGUGGCAAGCGUUAUCCGGAAUUAUUGGGCGUAAAGCGCGCGUAGGCGGUUUUUUAAGUCUGAUGUGAAAGCCCACGGCUCAACCGUGGAGGGUCAUUGGAAACUGGAAAACUUGAGUGCAGAAGAGGAAAGUGGAAUUCCAUGUGUAGCGGUGAAAUGCGCAGAGAUAUGGAGGAACACCAGUGGCGAAGGCGACUUUCUGGUCUGUAACUGACGCUGAUGUGCGAAAGCGUGGGGAUCAAACAGGAUUAGAUACCCUGGUAGUCCACGCCGUAAACGAUGAGUGCUAAGUGUUAGGGGGUUUCCGCCCCUUAGUGCUGCAGCUAACGCAUUAAGCACUCCGCCUGGGGAGUACGACCGCAAGGUUGAAACUCAAAGGAAUUGACGGGGACCCGCACAAGCGGUGGAGCAUGUGGUUUAAUUCGAAGCAACGCGAAGAACCUUACCAAAUCUUGACAUCCUUUGACAACUCUAGAGAUAGAGCCUUCCCCUUCGGGGGACAAAGUGACAGGUGGUGCAUGGUUGUCGUCAGCUCGUGUCGUGAGAUGUUGGGUUAAGUCCCGCAACGAGCGCAACCCUUAAGCUUAGUUGCCAUCAUUAAGUUGGGCACUCUAAGUUGACUGCCGGUGACAAACCGGAGGAAGGUGGGGAUGACGUCAAAUCAUCAUGCCCCUUAUGAUUUGGGCUACACACGUGCUACAAUGGACAAUACAAAGGGCAGCGAAACCGCGAGGUCAAGCAAAUCCCAUAAAGUUGUUCUCAGUUCGGAUUGUAGUCUGCAACUCGACUACAUGAAGCUGGAAUCGCUAGUAAUCGUAGAUCAGCAUGCUACGGUGAAUACGUUCCCGGGUCUUGUACACACCGCCCGUCACACCACGAGAGUUUGUAACACCCGAAGCCGGUGGAGUAACCUUUUAGGAGCUAGCCGUCGAAGGUGGGACAAAUGAUUGGGGUGAAGUCGUAACAAGGUAGCCGUAUCGGAAGGUGCGGCUGGAUCACCUCCUUUCU